RNAcentral lists this unclassified non-coding RNA (278 nucleotides) under uncultured fungus. RNAcentral describes it as "sequence contains ITS1, 5.8S rRNA gene". The stretch from base 230 to 278 matches the Rfam family "5.8S ribosomal RNA", at positions 1 to 49 of the family's 154-position model. The record is from RNAcentral. Lineage: Eukaryota; Fungi.
UUUCCGUAGGUGAACCUGCGGAAGGAUCAUUAUUGAAAGCAACCUUGGAGUGUAGAUGUGAUGCUGGCCCUUAUGGGCAUGUGCUCCGUCUGCCUUCAAUAUCCGCUCAACCCCUUCUUGUGCACUUUAAACUGGGCAGCAUCUUGAGCAAUUGAGAUGCUGUUCAUGUCUACACAAACCACUUUAAACAUUUUAUUGGAAUGUACUUUGAGUAUCGAGGAAAUAAUACAACUUUCAACAACGGAUCUCUUGGCUCUCGCAUCGAUGAAGAACGCAGC